Molecule: long non-coding RNA, 2178 nt
Organism: Ostrea edulis (European flat oyster)
Lineage: Eukaryota; Metazoa; Mollusca; Bivalvia; Ostreida; Ostreidae
Exons: 8
Source: RefSeq, a predicted model, not a curated record
CGGAAACAAAGAUGGAUGCCGAAUCAGCGUGAUCAGACAGAAAGCUUAUAUUUGCGGGUACUUAGCGAAAAUGACUGGCGGGUACAGUACUGUUACACAAUUUGUGAGGCCAAUCAGCCAGCAACGUCCACCAUUUCUGGACACCCGUUGUCCGAUUUCACCACGACCUGGUGUACAUCUUUCAAAUGUGGAACUGUGACUAUUCACGGUAACAGUAAGAUACACGUCUUGUCCGUGACUGCAUUAUUAGCAGUAAGUCGAGCGAGGCAACUGUUGCAGCUAAUUUUCACAGACAAUUACAAACUCGGGAUGUAGUGUUCUUAUUGAUGCUGGUACUGAUUGUUCAGUAAAAUAUCCAACAAAAGUAGAAGCUCUUAUUCGCAUAAGCAGUGAAGGCCCACUUAUUAGGGCCCCGCAUGAAAUGCGGGAAGCCCUAUAGUAAUCACAUUGUCCGUCCGUUCGACCGUCCGUCUGUCUGUCCAUCAACACUUUCUUUGUGACACGAUAACUCAAACAGUUUUUAUCGUACAGUUUUCAAAUUUUGUGUAUGUGUAUAUAUUUGUUUGUUUUUUUUAAUGUAAUAUAAAAAAUGCUUCAUGUUACAUGUAUAUUGAAUUAAAACACGUCAUUCCCAGUCAACAACUUUCGAUCGGGAUCGGAAUACGAAAUAAAAUUUCCUAUAUCCGGUUGCAAAGUGAAACUGCUUCAUGCUUCAAGUUAUUGAAUCAUGUAGCAAUUGCACGUUACACAUUAGAGAACUGUUCCUUUUGAUAAAGAAAGUCACAAAAUAGAUACAAAAUGAGUGUACCUUAUUCAUUACUGUUACCGAGCUUUCGUCGGUGAAAAUCUCGAAAUGGCGUGUUUUGCUGCGCUUCGUCCACAUUUUCUAUGUGGUGACUGAAGUCUGGUCAGUCGGCAGGCAGCAGUACUCAAUUUACCGCAUUCCUACAAUCCAACUGAAAUUACGGGUAUUCAGAAUCGGCCUUCAAACAGUUGAUGAAGCCAGCCCUGGUAGAUGGAAUCUGCCGCUUGACCAGCAGCACUGUCCAGAGACAGUGGUUGAUGCUGGAUAUAUGACUUUUCCUCAGCCCAUCAUUACCUGCUGGAGUGCUGGUAGAGGCUGAACGCUUUAAUAAAUAUAACUGUGAUCUUGCUGAGAUGUAGUAAUCCAUGGGAAUUUUCCAAAGAAGAUUCAAGAGAACCAUAAAGUCUUUCACUUCGUGACCUUGACAUUAGAGUUUCAUCUACUGACCGGUUUAGGUAGGACUUUCACAUUUUGUAUACAUAUAAUGACCUGAACGUUUUACAGAAUAGUCAUAUUGGUAUUGAGGCAUUCCUGUGUUGUGUGAAUUUAAGUUUGCUUUAUGUCGUGAACUUAGGGGCUAGAUGGGGCCACAAAAUAGUGUCAACAUAUUUCAUAGGAAUAAUGAUUGAAAAUACAAAAAAAAAAUUGAAAAUCAAAACAGCUGACCAAGAGCAAGGUGACUCGGGUGAGUGAUGUGGCCUAAAGGCUUCUUUGGGAUUAAACUCUAAGGUUAUAAAGUAUGUUUCUAACAAUUUAUCUGAAAUUAUUUGUAUGUGUUGAUUUUGGGGUCCAAAAAGUCAAGGUCACUACUGGACUUCAUAGAAAAGCUAGUAUAAAUUCAUUACGGAAGCAUAUGCCCUGCGUUGCAGAGUUCUUAUUCAUAUUCUAUCAUGAAACAGAAAACAAAGUCGCUUGACAAAAUUCUCUUCCAAAAAUUUACUGAGCAUUUUCAACUUGCAGACAAUUUUACUUGCCUGUCUGAUUUCUGGUGAUUCCAGCACUCAAUGCUACUUUGGUUUUUCAGCUUUCUGGACCUUAAAAGAUGUUGACACCCUGCUGAUGGAGCAGAUCCUAUUUCUUAGAAGCAGAAAGCAGUUCUCUUACCAUCAGAUCUGAUCCAUUUUUGGAUAUAGCCUUUUGUAUGGAGCUGGGUAACGGUUACUGGAGACAUGCUGUUGAUUGAUGAGGAUAAUUUUCCCGAGACUCUGACAUAUUGCAAGACCUGGAUAGCUCUACUGGUGUUCAAAAUGCCAGGACUGUGGAGUGUUGUGAUGUUAUUGAUGGUCAACAGAAGACUGUGACCUUGAAUCUGAAGAUCUGUGAUGAAGACUGGACGUUUGGGGUCACUCUCUGUUACAGUACUACAAAUCUAA